GUUCUCAGCUUUUUCUUGUUAUUUAUCGUUUUUGCGUGGUUUAAACAUGGAUAUAUCGCAAAUUCAAGGAGUUAGAAAAGGGACUAAAGGAAAACGAGAGAUCCUCAGCAAUAGAGACAUCAACCCUAGUAGACCUAGUUGUGAAUUAUUCAAAAUCAAAAAUAGAAAAACUGAUGCAGUUACUUGAAAAGAUAACGAGAAAGUGUGGAAAAAACUGUGUGCCACGAAUUUGACUAAUCAAUCUGUCAAACCCUAAAAUGAAAUCCAUUUUAAGCGAAAACAUUACCAACCUCACAAUUUUUAUAUCCUUAAGUAAAAGGAGAUCUAACAAGAAGCAUAAAUAAGCGAUAUGGUUCGCGUAAACUUUUUUCCGAGAAAAAAUUUACCAAUGAAAAUCAUUUAGUUUACGACUCGGUUUAAUAAUGCAAUAAAAAUAAGUUGAUGAAGAAAAGAUAGCGGCCGAGGCGCUAUCUCGCCAUCAAAUUUAAGAAAAAUCGGGAUGAUUUCAACGACAUUUGACUUACUUAAGCCGAGAUUGCUUGUGUCCGAGGCAUUACAAGAAAACCAUAUCGAUGAAAACAUGAUUAUUUGUUAAA
Onthophagus taurus is the source of this 596-nucleotide long non-coding RNA. RefSeq lists it as uncharacterized. NCBI's taxonomy places the organism in Eukaryota, Metazoa, Arthropoda, Insecta, Coleoptera, Scarabaeidae. The record is from RefSeq and is a predicted model, not a curated record.